Dipodomys ordii (Ord's kangaroo rat) is the source of this 133-nucleotide small nucleolar RNA. Lineage: Eukaryota; Metazoa; Chordata; Mammalia; Rodentia; Heteromyidae. The record is from Ensembl.
GCUGCCCCUAGAGGCGUUGCAGGUGUGGCUGCAGUGUCACACGUGUGUCCACAGGUGGCAGAGAGCAGAGAGGCUAUGUCUACGCUCAGUGUUCUAACCUGUGAACAUCUGAAUGAUUAGUAGCCUGACACCU